GUAGGCAAAGUCUCCUCUUUACAGAUGAGAGUCCUGCACUCAGGCUUGGCAGUGUGAGCUGCCCUCUGCAGGUGAACAGAGCCUGGUCUCUGUGGGGUCCUUGUGGAGCUUGCAGGCCACUGCCUCUGCUUUAAGGAGAAGCAUCUCUCCACUUCAUCCCCAACCACUUGUGUUGCCAUUGUAUUUCCGGAAGUGGCUUUUCUUCUAGAAGACUCCAGGGUCUGACUUCUGAAGAAAAGAAGGAAGAGGAAGGGUGGAGGAGAGGACACAGAGAGUGUGGCCUGCGGGUCUCUCCUGGUGUCCUGACAGCUUCUGGGUCAGAACUCGGAGACACCAUGACAAACAGCGCUCUGUCACAGCACGGGGUUCAGGCAAAGUCUCAGUGUCCAGGCGGUGAGGUCAGAGGUGGGGAAGCCCAGGGCUGGGGAUUCCCCAUCUCCCCAGUUUCACUUCUGCUCCUAACCUGGGUCAGGUCCUUCUGCCCGGACACUGAUGACGCGCAGACAGCUCUCACCCCCAUUGGGUGAAGCGAUCCCGGUGAACCAAUCAGAGUCGCCGCGGGCACUGGGUAUAAAGUCCACGCAGCGCGGGACUCAGACUUCCGGGAUCGCAGAUGGGGGCGAUGGCGCUGCGCUCGCUGCUCCUGCUGCUGGCGGCCGCCCUGGCCCCGACCCAGACCCGCGCGGGCUCACACUCGCUGCGGUAUUUCUACACCGCCGUGUCCCGGCCCGACCUCGGGGAGCCCCGGUUCAUUAUCGUCGGCUACGUGGACGACACGGAGUUCGUGCGCUUCGACAGCGACGCGGAGAAUCCGAGAUACGAGCCGCGCGCGGCGUGGAUGGAGCAGGAGGAGCCGGAGUAUUGGGAGGAGCAGACACGGAUCGCCAAGGACAAUGAGCAGAGAUCCCGAGGGAACCUGAGGACCGCUCUGCGAUACUACAACUAGAGCGAGGGCGGCUCUCACACACUACAGCGGACGUCUGGCUGUGAGGUGGGGUCGGACUGGAGCCUCCUUCGCGGAUACAUGCAGGAUGCCUACGACGGCCACGAUUACAUCGCCCUGAACGAAGACCUGAACUCGUGGACAGCGGCGGACAUGGCGGCGCGGAUCACCAGACGCAAGUGGGAGCAGGCUGGUGCUGCAGAGAGACACAAGGCCUACCUGGAGGGCGAGUGCAUGGAGUCGCUCCUUAGAUACCUGGAGCUCGGGAAGGAGACGCUGCUGCGCACAGAUCCCCCAAAGGCACAUGUGACCCAUCACCCCAGAUCUGAAGGUAAUGUCACCCUGAAGAGCUGGCCCUCGGACUUUGACCCUGAUGACAUCGACCUGACCUGGCAGUUGAAUGGGAAGGAGCUGACCCAGGACAUGGAGCUUGUGGAGACCAGUCCUGCAGGGGAUGGAACCUUCCAGAAGUUGGCAUCUGUGGUGGUGCCUCUUGGGAAGGAGAAGAAAUACACACGCCAUGUGGAACAUGAGGGGCUGCGUGAGCCCCUCACCCUGAGAAGGGAGCCUCUUCUAUCCACCGACUCUACCAUGGUGAACAUUGCUGUCCUGGCUGUCCUUGUAGUUAUGACCAUCAUUGGAGCUGUGGUGGUUUUAGAGAGGAGAAACAGAGGUGGACAAGAAGGAGACUAUGCUCCAGAUCCAGGGCAGGGACAGCUCCCAGAGCUCUGAUCUGUCUCUCCCAGAUUGUAAAGCAUGAAGACAGCUGCCUGGAGUGGACUGAGUGACAGAUGGUGUUUUCGGGUCUCUCCUGUGACAUCCAGAGUCCUCAGGUCUCUUUAGACAACAGUAUUUGAUGUUUCCUGUGAUUCUCAAUUGAUGGGCUCAAUGUGCCUGUGUUCCCUUCCACAGCCAACCUUCCUGGUGUAGCCACACACUGGGAGACAUCUGCAUCCUGUCAGCUCCAUGCUGCCCUGAGCUGCAGCUCCUCAUUCCCACUCUGAGAAUAAAAAUUUGAAUGUGACCUUGAUUGUUAACAUCUUGA
Mastomys coucha (southern multimammate mouse) is the source of this 1988-nucleotide RNA transcript. It is a transcript of the gene named H-2 class I histocompatibility antigen, D-K alpha chain-like, with no coding region annotated. The record is from RefSeq and is a predicted model, not a curated record. The transcript has 8 exons. Lineage: Eukaryota; Metazoa; Chordata; Mammalia; Rodentia; Muridae.